CUCCGCGCCCCACCCCUGGCUCCCGCUCCACAGAGCAAGCCCUCCCCGGCGGGCGGAGACUGCGGCGGCGGGGGCUGGGUGGGCGGCCAAGCGCCGCUAGGCGCUCGGUCCCGGCUGCCGCUGCAGUUGGAGCACAGGUCUCGCCGGCGAAACUUGAGGCCAGCGGCGCAGACGGGGUCCGGGCAGACGCGCGGAGGUGGGGGCGAGGUGGAGCGGAGUCGGGAGGAGUAGGGACUCUUUAAACACGUGCGUCUGAAAGAGGUGGCAAGCUGCGGAAGGCUACCAUGAAGUCAGAGGUUAAUGUGUGAUGCAGUUUGAACCCAUGAAUUAUAUAUUUCUUUUUGCCUGGAAUACAUACCUGAUGCCUGGAGGAACAGCAACCAUCUUGCAACUAUGAGGAGAAAAUCAAUUCAUUAAGAAUGCAGAAGUGAAGAAGAUAAAGGGAACCAUGGCCAUUGAUGACAUAACUGAGCCAGCCUAACAGCCCAGAACUUUCUAUUCCCUGACUUCUUGUUGCAUGAGAAAAUAAAAUUUCUCAGUUUUUUUAA
This is a long non-coding RNA of Choloepus didactylus (southern two-toed sloth), 548 nucleotides long. RefSeq lists it as uncharacterized. The transcript has 2 exons. Lineage: Eukaryota; Metazoa; Chordata; Mammalia; Pilosa; Megalonychidae. The record is from RefSeq and is a predicted model, not a curated record.